Molecule: long non-coding RNA, 365 nt
Organism: Haliotis rufescens (red abalone)
Lineage: Eukaryota; Metazoa; Mollusca; Gastropoda; Lepetellida; Haliotidae
Exons: 3
Source: RefSeq, a predicted model, not a curated record
UACCGCUAUUUUAGAAAGCAUCUGAAACAGACACUGAUUCGUGGAGCGAUGGCGUCACUGAUUUGGAGCUAUUGGCGGGACUAUUGGAAGCCGAAAGGGUCAACGAGGAAGAUGAUGAUGACGUCAUAAUUGUGAAUGUUGAAAACGUUCCCGCUGAACAGAGUCAGGAUUUUGAAUCGGAUUUCGGGGAAGAGGUUUCGUGGUACGGCAACUGGGACAACGAAAUAUUUACCGUUUCCUAUGACACCCAGGAUGAUAGCGAUCAUAAUACGGAUGCGGAGGAACUGAUCAAUUGCGAUACAUCGGAAGACAUGUCUUGUGAUGUGGGAAACCUCAUGAUUUCCACGAGCGAGGAAGAAUCAGAG